AUUUAAGUAGUUUAAUAUAAAACUAUGGCUUGUGGUGCUAUAAAUAUAAUUUUUAUCUUGAAUU
RNAcentral lists this transfer RNA (64 nucleotides) under Athalia scapulata. Its description in RNAcentral is "tRNA-His". Lineage: Eukaryota; Metazoa; Arthropoda; Insecta; Hymenoptera; Athaliidae. The record is from RNAcentral.